CCUUAUGACCGAUUUUAAAAGUACCACUUUUAAAAUCGGUUAUUGAAGAGCCGAUUUUAAAAGUAGCACUUUUAAAAUCAGCUAUUAAA
This 89-nucleotide microRNA precursor is filed under the name Cajanus cajan (pigeon pea). Its description in RNAcentral is "miRNA gene-KK1_045925". The record is from RNAcentral. Lineage: Eukaryota; Viridiplantae; Streptophyta; Magnoliopsida; Fabales; Fabaceae.